UAGGGAAUCUUCGGCAAUGGACGGAAGUCUGACCGAGCAACGCCGCGUGAGUGAAGAAGGUUUUCGGAUCGUAAAGCUCUGUUGUUAGAGAAGAACGUUGGUAGGAGUGGAAAAUCUACCAAGUGACGGUAACUAACCAGAAAGGGACGGCUAACUACGUGCCAGCAGCCGCGGUAAUACGUAGGUCCCGAGCGUUGUCCGGAUUUAUUGGGCGUAAAGCGAGCGCAGGCGGUUCUUUAAGUCUGAAGUUAAAGGCAAUGGCGUAACCAUUGUACGCUUUGGAAACUGGAGGACUUGAAUGCAGAAGAGGAGAGUGGAAUUCCACGUGUAGCGGUGAAAGGCGUAGUUAUAUGGAGGAAAACCAGUGGCGAAAGCGGCUCUCAGGUCUGUAACUGACGCUGAGGCUCGAAAGCGUGGGGAGCAAACAGG
This 429-nucleotide ribosomal RNA is filed under the name Bacillota bacterium. RNAcentral describes it as "Firmicutes bacterium partial 16S ribosomal RNA". It matches the Rfam family "Bacterial small subunit ribosomal RNA", at positions 355 to 776 of the family's 1533-position model. Lineage: Bacteria; Bacillati; Bacillota. The record is from RNAcentral.